GAUGAAGAACGCAGUGAAAUGCGAUAAGUAAUGUGAAUUGCAGAAUUCAGUGAAUCAUCGAAUCUUUGAACGCACAUUGCGCCCGCCAGCAUUCUGGCGGGCAUGCCUGUUCGAGCGUCAUUUCAACCCUCGACCUCCCCUUGGGGAAGUCGGCGUUGGGGACCGGCAGCAUACCGCCGGCCCCGAAAUGGAGUGGCGGCCCGUCCGCGGCGACCUCUGCGUAGUAAUCCAACCUCGCACCGGAACCCCGACGUGGCCACGCCGUAAAACCCCCAACUUUCUGAACGUUGACCUCGGAUCAGGUAGGAAUACCCGCUGAACUUAAGCAUAUCAAUAAGCGGAGGA
This 345-nucleotide unclassified non-coding RNA is filed under the name soil metagenome. Its description in RNAcentral is "partial contains 5.8S ribosomal RNA, internal transcribed spacer 2, and large subunit ribosomal RNA". The stretch from base 1 to 120 matches the Rfam family "5.8S ribosomal RNA", at positions 35 to 154 of the family's 154-position model. The record is from RNAcentral.